CUGGCGGCGUGCUUAACACAUGCAAGUCGAGCGAGGAACUUCGGUUCCUAGCGGCGAACGGGUGAGUAACACGUGGGCAACCUGCCCCGAGCUCUGGGAUAACUUCGGGAAACCGGGGCUAAUACCGGAUAUGACACUACUGGACAUCUGGUGGUGUGGAAAGAUUUAUCGGCUUGGGAUGGGCCCGCGGCCUAUCAGCUUGUUGGUGGGGUAACGGCCUACCAAGGCGACGACGGGUAGCCGGCCUGAGAGGGCGAUCGGCCACACUGGGACUGAGACACGGCCCAGACUCCUACGGGAGGCAGCAGUGGGGAAUAUUGCGCAAUGGGCGGAAGCCUGACGCAGCGACGCCGCGUGGGGGAUGAAGGCC
This 370-nucleotide ribosomal RNA is filed under the name uncultured Frankia sp. Its description in RNAcentral is "bacterial SSU rRNA". It matches the Rfam family "Bacterial small subunit ribosomal RNA", at positions 36 to 416 of the family's 1533-position model. Lineage: Bacteria; Bacillati; Actinomycetota; Actinomycetes; Frankiales; Frankiaceae. The record is from RNAcentral.